UACGUAGGGUGCGAGCGUUAAUCGGAAUUACUGGGCGUAAAGAGCGCGCAGGCGGUCGUUCAAGUCGCGUGUGAAAGCCCCCGGCUCAACUGGGGAGGGUCACGCGAUACUGAUCGACUCGAAGGCAGGAGAGGGAAGUGGAAUUCCCGGUGUAGUGGUGAAAUGCGUAGAUAUCGGGAGGAACACCAGUGGCGAAGGCGACUUCCUGGCCUGUUCUUGACGCUGAGGCGCGAAAGCUAGGGGAGCAAACGGG
This 253-nucleotide ribosomal RNA is filed under the name uncultured bacterium. Its description in RNAcentral is "partial 16S ribosomal RNA". It matches the Rfam family "Bacterial small subunit ribosomal RNA", at positions 524 to 776 of the family's 1533-position model. The record is from RNAcentral.